CAUGUCAGUUUGAGAUAUUUUCUCUUAUCUUAGUUUAUAUGCAGUUGCAGCUAGCCAUUCACAGGUUUAAAGUGAAAAAAGUGAAAGUCGUGACAUUUGCCAAGUAUGGUAACCCAUACUCGGAAUUGGUGCUCUGCAUUUAACCCAUCCAAGUGCACACACACAGCAGUGAGAAGUGAACACUCCGUGAACACACACCUAGAGCAGUGGGCAGCUAUAUAUCCAGCCCCCGGGGAGCAACUGGGGGUUCAGUGCCUUGCUCAAGGGCACUUCAGCCAUGGGUAUUGAGGGUGGAAGAGAGCGCGGUUCAUUCGCUCCCCACCAACCUACAACUCCUGCCAGCACCGAGACUCAAACCUGUGACCUUCUGGUUACAAGUCCAACAAUCUAAUCAUUAGCAACCACAGCUGCCCCUUUAUUUCCCUUAAAGGUGUUCACACUGUGGUUCUGUGCUGCUUUCAACACACAAUCCCAAAACAUUCAGCGGAGUCCAGUGACUAUCCUGAGCUGUAAAUCAAAGGCAGCAGACAAGGGGAAGGAAAAUAAACAUUAGUCUUUUUCACGCUGAUUAGGGCUCACUAAAAUUGAGGUACUGGUAAAAACAUCUACUAUAAUCAAAGAAGUUUUUUUUUUUUUUGGAUUUAUAUAUGUUACUUGCAAAAGGGGUCGACUGCAGCUGACCAGAAAACCCUUGACCUACUGGGACAGCCUGUCUUUUUUUCUUUUCUCUACAAAUGCCAGAUGAACAAAUCUUUGGAAAACCUCUUUGAAAACAGUGAAGUCAUUUUCUUUGCAAUUUUGUUUGGUUACACUCAUGGUGCGGAAAUGACAUCUUUCCCCUUGAAGAUCCCAGGUCACUUCCUCAUAAAUGGUUGGCAUUUUUUCAUACCUUGGCUUUUGUGGUCUUUCCUUCAAAUCACUGCAGCUCAUUUUUCAUUUGUGGCACCAGGUCAAUGGCCAAGACAUGCAGGAGGUCAGCCACCAUGAGGCUGUCAGCAUCCUGAGGAAUGCUGGGAGCUGCAUAAAAAUGAAAGUGCUACGGGAGAGAAGCAUGCCAGUGGAGCCUUGGCUGCAUGAGAGGAAUGACACCAUGGAAACAGCAGACCCCCAGGUCAGCCAAGAGUGGGAUGUUGCCAUGAGCAAUAACAGAUCAAGUGGCCCACAGUCCUCCACUGAUCCCAUGCUGGACUGCAGCCCAAUGACCAACAGGAUGGAAGCUACUGUCUGCAAUGGAAAUGGACUGGAUGAUCCAAUACAGGACUUACGGCUGACAAAAGACAUGGAGACCUUCAAAAACAAUGCCCUACAGGUUGUGAAAAAUACUAUGACGAUACCUCGGAUUAUUCUGACUCACCCCUCUACCUCAGAUGAGGACGUGGAGCCCCUGACGCAGGGCCCAGAUGACGGAGAUUUUGAUUCUGACUUCAGCGACUCGGACAGUCACAUCUACUCGGACUGCUUGAACAGCGCUUUCUAUCCUCUGUGAAAGAUAGAGAAGUACACAGACUCCAGGUGUGCCUGUGUCCUUCGGUAAGGUGAAAUUGUUCUAGCUGUGGUCCACAAUCGCCGGAGCAGAAAACGAGUGGCGCGCGAUCGAUACUUCAGGCAAAGUCCACAGUAACAUGAUGCACUGUUUAGAACACCAUUGUGUGAAAGUGAUGUAGAGGAAGUGGGAAGUAAAUAGAUCAUAUUUUUCUAAAAUGUUACUCCUUUAAAUUGUACACGCUCUUAAAUAGACCUUACUUGCUUUGUGUAUGCUUCAUUUAAAUGUUUUUACUUGUAUCAUUUAUAAAUUGCCAAAAACAAA
Molecule: long non-coding RNA, 1807 nt
Organism: Cyprinus carpio (common carp)
Lineage: Eukaryota; Metazoa; Chordata; Actinopteri; Cypriniformes; Cyprinidae
Source: Ensembl